GAUGAACGCUGGCGGCGUGCCUAAUACAUGCAAGUCGAGCGAACGGACGAGAAGCUUGCUUCUCUGAUGUUAGCGGCGGACGGGUGAGUAACACGUGGAUAACCUACCUAUAAGACUGGGAUAACUUCGGGAAACCGUAGCUAAUACCGGAUAAUAUUUUGAACCGCAUGGUUCAAAAGUGAAAGACGGUCUUGCUGUAUCUUAUAGAUGGAUCCGCGCUGCAUUAGCUAGUUGGUAAGGUAACGGCUUACCAAGGCAACGAUGGGUAGCCGACCGGUGUGGGUGAUCGGCCACACUGGAACUGAGACACGGUCCAGACUCCUACGGGAGGCAGCAGUAGGGAAUCUUCCGCAAUGGGCGAAAGCCUGACGGAGCAACGCCGCGUGAGUGAUGAAGGUCUUCGGAUCGUAAAACUCUGUUAUUAGGGAAGAACAUAUGUGUAAGUAACUGUGCACAUCUUGACGGUUCCUAAUCAGAAAGCCACGGCUAACUACGUG
RNAcentral lists this ribosomal RNA (497 nucleotides) under uncultured bacterium. Its description in RNAcentral is "partial 16S ribosomal RNA". It matches the Rfam family "Bacterial small subunit ribosomal RNA", at positions 28 to 507 of the family's 1533-position model. The record is from RNAcentral.